RNAcentral lists this ribosomal RNA (497 nucleotides) under uncultured bacterium. RNAcentral describes it as "partial 16S ribosomal RNA". It matches the Rfam family "Bacterial small subunit ribosomal RNA", at positions 28 to 507 of the family's 1533-position model. The record is from RNAcentral.
GAUGAAUGCUGGCGGCGUGCCUAAUACAUGCAAGUCGAGCGAACAGAUGAGGAGCUUGCUCCUCUGACGUUAGCGGCGGACGGGUGAGUAACACGUGGAUAACCUACCUAUAAGACUGGGAUAACUUCGGGAAACCGGAGCUAAUACCGGAUAAUAUAUUGAACCGCAUGGUUCAAUAGUGAAAGACGGUUUUGCUGUCACUUAUAGAUGGACCCGCGCCGCAUUAGCUAGUUGGUAAGGUAACGGCUUACCAAGGCAACGAUGCGUAGCCGACCUGAGAGGGUGAUCGGCCACACUGGAACUGAGACACGGUCCAGACUCCUACGGGAGGCAGCAGUAGGGAAUCUUCCGCAAUGGGCGAAAGCCUGACGGAGCAACGCCGCGUGAGUGAUGAAGGUCUUCGGAUCGUAAAACUCUGUUAUUAGGGAAGAACAAAUGUGUAAGUAACUAUGCACGUCUUGACGGUACCUAAUCAGAAAGCCACGGCUAACUACGUG